Molecule: microRNA precursor, 88 nt
Filed under: Oryza brachyantha (malo sina)
Lineage: Eukaryota; Viridiplantae; Streptophyta; Magnoliopsida; Poales; Poaceae
Description: MIR528 microRNA precursor family
Rfam family: MIR528 microRNA precursor family
Source: Rfam by way of RNAcentral
GUGGAAGGGGCAUGCAGAGGAGCAGGAGAUUCAGUUGGAGCUGGAGUUCACCUCCCCUUUUCUGUCUCCUGUGCUUGCCUCUUCCAUU